This 30-nucleotide non-coding RNA is filed under the name Homo sapiens (human). The record is from RNAcentral. Lineage: Eukaryota; Metazoa; Chordata; Mammalia; Primates; Hominidae.
UCCAGUAGCAAAACACAGAGGUCUGGCAUG